Molecule: non-coding RNA, 132 nt
Organism: Erinaceus europaeus (western European hedgehog)
Lineage: Eukaryota; Metazoa; Chordata; Mammalia; Eulipotyphla; Erinaceidae
Source: Rfam
CUAGCAUCUAAAGCCAAGGCUUUAGAUUCCUAUAAAGAACGUUUAAACACAGGUACUGACAAAGAGGUGGAGUCUUUUGGGGUGUGUGUGUGUGUGUGUGCCCCUCACAGUGAAUUUGGAGGUUCUGCACUC